GACGAACGCUGGCGGCGUGCUUAACACAUGCAAGUCGAACGGAAAGGCCCUGCUUUUGUGGGGUGCUCGAGUGGCGAACGGGUGAGUAACACGUGAGUAACCUGCCCUUGACUUUGGGAUAACUUCAGGAAACUGGGGCUAAUACCGGAUAGGAGCUCCUGCUGCAUGGUGGGGGUUGGAAAGUGUCGGCGGUUGUGGCUGGUCUCGCGGCUUAUGAGCUUGUUGGUGGGGUAGUGGCUUACCAAGGCUUUGACGGGUAGCCCGCCUGAGAGCGUGACCGGCGACAAUGGGACUGAGAUACGGCGCAGACGCCUACGGGAGGCAGCAGUGGGGAGUAUUGCACAAUGGGCGGAAGCCUGAUACAGCAACCCCGCGUGCGGGAUGACGGCCUUCGGGUUGUAAACCGCUUUGGCCUGUGACGAAGCGGGAGUGACGGUAAUGGGUAAAGAAGCACCGGCUAACUACGUG
RNAcentral lists this ribosomal RNA (468 nucleotides) under uncultured bacterium. RNAcentral describes it as "partial 16S ribosomal RNA". It matches the Rfam family "Bacterial small subunit ribosomal RNA", at positions 28 to 507 of the family's 1533-position model. The record is from RNAcentral.